GUACAUUUUGCAUAUCCCUGAAAAUGCAGCUGAAAAAAAAUCACAAAAUGAAGACAACAUAUUUAUACGCAACCGCUCAAAAACGGCGAAAAACUAAAUGUAUUGUUACAGGUGUGAGUCGGUAUAAGAAGUAGUUACCAUAAUUGAUUAAUCGAUAUCAAACAAUUCUAAAAUUUCCUUAAAAAUGAAAUGAUAUGUAAACGUUAUUUCACUGAUCAAUAAACAAACAAACGAAGUGAAUGCUUUUUGGAAACCGUAUAUCGAUAAAGUAUAUUAUACAGAUUACUCCGCCUAUAUUUAGCAUGAUCAUUUCACUUUUCGAUCGUCGCCAUUUUGUAAGCGCCCUGCCUACAAGUGUCUCAUGGACUUCAGCUGGACUAAAUGUGUAUUACCCGGGAGGAACUGUAAAGAGCCAGCCAGACAGCCCGCCCGCCGAGCUGCCCACCCGCCCGAGCUGUACUUUGUGUAUGCCAACAUGCCGCCAUGCUGUAAUUUGUUAGUACUUCAAGAUCAUAUAAUGGAAAAUUGUAUCCAAACUGAAGUAUAAAGUGGAUCAUGAUGUGCCAAUAAGCUCCAGUUAGCUGCGCCUUUUUCCUCUCACCGGUAGUCCUGCAAUCUGAAUCCAGGAGAUGCAGCUCUGAAUCCAAUAUUUCAGAAGAAUGAAUAUAAAACUGAAGCCUUCAGGAAGUCAAUGCCACCAUGGUAUUGAUUUACUCAGCUCUGAUGUACUCAGCUGUGAUGUAACAUGCCUUCAAGCCACUAUCCGAAGACCAUUCAGACGUUCUAAAUGGACCAUUGCCCUGUUGCCAUGGAAAUCAUUAUGAGGACGAGCACACAAACUGUCACUUAUUUUGAAUAUGAGAUGUACCACGAACUGACCAUAAACUUUUCGGAUGCUCUGUUUAUUUCAUGAGCCAAUUUCGAUGUAAAUUUUACUGAAUAAUGACAAACAGUCUUACUCAUAAGCAUCUCUUACUCAUUCGUAUUCCACAACUAAACAUGCUUGCAAUUACACUGUGCCAUCUAUCAUAAUAUAGCAAUGCUGCAGUGACCACAUUUUUAUGUACCAGUUGUUGCUUUAUACUGAAACUGACAUAUUUUAUGUCCAACACAGACAUUUACUGAAUGUAUUACUACUUUACGUUGAUUUUGAUAUGUAAAAAAAACAUUGUACUUCUCUUUGUACAAAAAACUUUUCAUUUGCUAUGUUGUUUGUUUCCAUGUUCUGUCUGUAUACAGAUGAUAUGUUCAUAUCAAUUUUUAGCUCGACUAUUCGUAGAAUAUGGAGAGCUAUACUACACACCCAAGUGUCGGCGUUGGCGUCACACCUUGGUUAAGGUUUUGUGUGCAAGCACACAUAGGUUAAUAUCUCAGUUACUCCUUGAGGUAUCGCAUUGAGACUUGAUACAAUGGUACUCAAACAUCCAACCUACUUAAUUAACCAUGCUAGAUAACUCUACUUUGCAUUUAAUGCAAAUUAUAGGCUUUUAUUAUUUGACUUAGAAAUUCUGGUUAAGGUUUUGCAGGCAAGCACACAUAGGUAAAUAUCUCAUUAAGUACUUGAGGUAUUGCAUUGAGACUUGAUACAAUGGUACUCAACCAUCCAACCUACUUAAUUAACAAAGUUAGAUAACUGUAGUUUGCAUUUAAUUCAAAUAAUAUGACAUUAUUAUUCGACUUAGAUAUUCUGGUUAAGGUUUUGCGUGCAAGCACACAUAGGUUAAUAUCUCAGCAGCUACUCGAUGUAUUGCAUUGAGACUUUAUAGAAUGGUAUUCAACCACUCAAUGUCAUUGAAUAACCAAGAUAUAUAUAUUUGCAAAUAAUUGCCCUUUAUUAUUAGACUUCAACAUUCUGGUUGAAAAUUUCCAUGUAACCACAUUUAUGUUAAUAUCUCACCACAUGAAUUGCAUUGAAAUCUUAUCCAACAGCGAACCAUGCAUGUUUCGCCAAAACUGUUCAAUCCUUACACUGACCAGACAGUGGCGAAAUAGUCGAGCCCGCUGUCUCUGUGACAGCUCUUGUUCAAAAUUAACGUGAUGUUCAUUUCCAUUGUGAAACUUAUCCCUUGGGAACAAUAUUAACAUCUUUUAGCAUACAUGCCUGGAUGAGUUUUAAAAAAUGACCAUAUUAUGCAUAGUUACUGCAUGAAAAUAUACAAUGACAUACAUUUCAUAUCAACUUGUGUAUCUGUAUUUCCCUUUCAACUACUUCGAAAUAACAAACGUCCCAACCCUAAAAUGUUCAAACAUAUUCUACAUACAUUAUUUUUAUCUUACACUAUAUAUAUAUGUUCUAUAUGUAUAUAUCACGCCUAAUAAAAUUGAAGCCUGUCAACUCGUAUGUUGUUGUGAAAC
Mya arenaria is the source of this 2355-nucleotide long non-coding RNA. RefSeq lists it as uncharacterized. The record is from RefSeq and is a predicted model, not a curated record. Lineage: Eukaryota; Metazoa; Mollusca; Bivalvia; Myida; Myidae. The transcript has 4 exons.